GAAGCUAAUCGGAAGGGCAGGCCGGGGAGGUGGAGGGAGGCGGUGGAUUGAGGAGGUGGUGGUCGGGAUGCUCACGGAAGGAAGGGGAAGGGAAGGGAGGGGAAGCUAGCAGGAGCAGCAGCAGUAGAGUUGAAGUGCGGCACCAAGUUGGUUUUUUUCUUGACUUUUGGUUGGGGCUACUCAUCCAGCCGCAGUGUAGAGAAGAGGAGAGGAGAG
Molecule: long non-coding RNA, 216 nt
Filed under: Oryza brachyantha (malo sina)
Lineage: Eukaryota; Viridiplantae; Streptophyta; Magnoliopsida; Poales; Poaceae
Description: long non-coding RNA (OBRA_LNC002756)
Source: RNAcentral